RNAcentral lists this ribosomal RNA (497 nucleotides) under uncultured bacterium. Its description in RNAcentral is "partial 16S ribosomal RNA". It matches the Rfam family "Bacterial small subunit ribosomal RNA", at positions 28 to 507 of the family's 1533-position model. The record is from RNAcentral.
GAUGAACGCUGGCGGCGUGCCUAAUACUUCCAGGUCAACCGACCGGACGAAAAGUUUGCUUCUUUAUUGUUAGCGGCGUACGGGGGAUUACCCCUUGGUAAACCUCCUUAUAAAACUGGGAUACCUUCGGGAAUCCGGACCUAAUCCCGAUAAAUCUUUUGACCCCAUGGUUUAAAAAUUAAAAUACGGUCUUCCGGUACCUUAUAGAUGAUUCCGGGAUGAUUUAGCUAGUUGGUAAGGUAACGCCUUACCAAGGCAACGAUGCAUAGCCGACCUGAGAGAGUGAUCGGCCACACUGGAACUGAGACACGGUCCAGACUCCUACGGGAGGCAGCAGUAGGGAAUCUUCCGCAAUGGGCGAAAGCCUGACGGAGCAACGCCGCGUGAGUGAUGAAGGUCUUCGGAUCGUAAAACUCUGUUAUUAGGGAAGAACAUAUGUGUAAGUAACUGUGCACAUCUUGACGGUACCUAAUCAGAAAGCCACGGCUAACUACGUG